Molecule: transfer RNA, 55 nt
Filed under: Strongyloides sp. EN-2020c
Lineage: Eukaryota; Metazoa; Nematoda; Chromadorea; Rhabditida; Strongyloididae
Description: tRNA-Arg
Source: RNAcentral
AGAUGUUUAGUAGUUUAUCUAUAUUUGAUUGCGGUUUGAAAGUUUUUAACAUCUU